GUCUGCAACUCGACUACAUGAAGCCGGAAUCGCUAGUAAUCGCGGAUCAGAAUGCCGCGGUGAAUACGUUCCCGGGUCUUGUACACACCGCCCGUCACACCAUGGGAGCCGGAAAUGCCCGAAGUCAGUGACCCAACCAAUAAGGAGGGAGCUGCCGAAGGCAGGUCUGGUGACUGGGGGUGAAGUCGUAACAAGGUAAC
This 200-nucleotide ribosomal RNA is filed under the name uncultured bacterium. Its description in RNAcentral is "partial 16S ribosomal RNA". It matches the Rfam family "Bacterial small subunit ribosomal RNA", at positions 1303 to 1500 of the family's 1533-position model. The record is from RNAcentral.